This 71-nucleotide transfer RNA is filed under the name Marmota monax (woodchuck). It matches the Rfam family "tRNA". From Rfam's summary of the family: Transfer RNA (tRNA) molecules are approximately 80 nucleotides in length. Their secondary structure includes four short double-helical elements and three loops (D, anti-codon, and T loops). Further hydrogen bonds mediate the characteristic L-shaped molecular structure. tRNAs have two regions of fundamental functional importance: the anti-codon, which is responsible for specific mRNA codon recognition, and the 3' end, to which the tRNAs corresponding amino acid is attached (by aminoacyl-tRNA synthetases). tRNAs cope with the degeneracy of the genetic code in two manners: having more than one tRNA (with a specific anti-codon) for a particular amino acid; and 'wobble' base-pairing, i.e. permitting non-standard base-pairing at the 3rd anti-codon position. The record is from Rfam by way of RNAcentral. Lineage: Eukaryota; Metazoa; Chordata; Mammalia; Rodentia; Sciuridae.
GGGGUUAUGGCUCAGCGGUAGAGUGCUCGCCUCGCAUGUGCAAGGCCCUGGGUUUGAUCCCCAGAACCACA